GUCGAACGAUGAAGCUGGAGCUUGCUCCGGUGGAUUAGUGGCGAACGGGUGAGUAACACGUGAGAAAUCUGCCCCUGACUCUGGGAUAACUGCGGGAAACUGUAGCUAAUACCGGAUACUUUCCCUGGUGGGCAUCCACUGGGGAAGAAAGAAUUUCGGUCAGGGAGGAUCUCGCGGCCUAUCAGCUAGUUGGUGAGGUAACGGCUCACCAAGGCGACGACGGGUAACCGGCCUGAGAGGGUGACCGGUCACACUGGGACUGAGACACGGCCCAGACUCCUACGGGAGGCAGCAGUGGGGAAUAUUGCACAAUGGGCGCAAGCCUGAUGCAGCAACGCCGCGUGAGGGAUGAAGGCCUUCGGGUUGUAAACCUCUCUUAGCAGGGAAGAAGCGAAAGUGACGGUACCUGCAGAAAAAGCACCGGCUAACUACGUGCCAGCAGCCGCGGUAAUACGUAGGGUGCAAGCGUUGUCCGGAAUUAUUGGGCGUAAAGAGCUCGUAGGCGGUUUGUCACGUCUGCUGUGAAAAUCCAAGGCUCAACCUUGGACUUGCAGUGGGUACGGGCAGGCUAGAGUGCGGUAGGGGAGAUGGGAAUUCCUGGUGUAGCGGUGGAAUGCGCAGAUAUCAGGAGGAACACCAAUGGCGAAGGCACAUCUCUGGGCCGUAACUGACGCUGAGGAGCGAAAGCGUGGGGAGCGAACAGGAUUAGAUACCCUGGUAGUCCACGCCGUAAACGGUGGGUGCUAGCUGUGGGCCACAUUCCACGUGGUCCGUGACGAAGUUAACACAUUAAGCACCCCGCCUGGGGAGUACGGCCGCAAGGCUAAAACUCAAAGGAAUUGACGGGGGCCCGCACAAGCGGCGGAGCAUGCGGAUUAAUUCGAUGCAACGCGAAGAACCUUACCAAGGCUUGACAUAUAGAGGAAAAGUGCAGAAAUGCACUCCCCGCGAGGUCUCUAUACAGGUGGUGCAUGGUUGUCGUCAGCUCGUGUCGUGAGAUGUUGGGUUAAGUCCCGCAACGAGCGCAACCCUCGUCCUAUGUUGCCAGCACGUAAUG
RNAcentral lists this ribosomal RNA (1057 nucleotides) under uncultured bacterium. RNAcentral describes it as "bacterial SSU rRNA". It matches the Rfam family "Bacterial small subunit ribosomal RNA", at positions 61 to 1130 of the family's 1533-position model. The record is from RNAcentral.